This 465-nucleotide ribosomal RNA is filed under the name uncultured bacterium. RNAcentral describes it as "partial 16S ribosomal RNA". It matches the Rfam family "Bacterial small subunit ribosomal RNA", at positions 338 to 795 of the family's 1533-position model. The record is from RNAcentral.
CCUACGGGUGGCAGCAGUAGGGAAUCUUCCACAAUGGGCGCAAGCCUGAUGGAGCAACGCCGCGUGGAUGAAGAAGGUCUUCGGAUCGUAAAACUCUUUUGUUAGAGACGAAAGAGCGGGAGAGUAACUGUUCACGUUUCGACGGUAUCUAACCAGAAAGCCACGGCUAAAUACGUGCCAGCAGCCGCGGUAAUACGUAGGUGGCAAGCGUUAUCCGGCUUUAUUGGGCGUAAAGGGAACGCGGGCGGUCUUUUAAGUCUGAUGUGAAAGCCUUGGGCUUAACCGGAGUAGUGCAUUGGAAACUGGGAGACUUGAGUGCAGAAGAGGAGGGUGGAAUUCCAUGUGUAGCGGUGAAAUGCGUAGAUAUAUGGAAGAACACCAGUGGCGAAAGCGGCUCUCUGGUCUGUAACUGACGCUGAGGUUCGAAAGCGUGGGGAGCAAACAGGAUUAGAUACCCUAGUAGUC